UAGCAAAGCUGAGGCCAGA
Molecule: non-coding RNA, 19 nt
Filed under: Mus musculus (house mouse)
Lineage: Eukaryota; Metazoa; Chordata; Mammalia; Rodentia; Muridae
Source: RNAcentral